AGCGUGCGCAGGCGGUUUUGUAAGACUGUCGUGAAAUCCCCGGGCUCAACCUGGGAAUGGCGAUGGUGACUGCAAGGCUAGAGUUUGGCGAGAGGGGGGUAGAAUUCCACGUGUAGCAGUGAAAUGCGUAGAUAUGUGGAGGAACACCGAUGGCGAAGGCACGCCCCCUGGGUCAAAACUGACGCUCAUGCACGAAAGCGUGGGGAGCAAACAGGAUUAGAUACCCGUGU
Molecule: ribosomal RNA, 230 nt
Filed under: uncultured bacterium
Lineage: Bacteria
Description: partial 16S ribosomal RNA
Rfam family: Bacterial small subunit ribosomal RNA
Source: RNAcentral